This 373-nucleotide ribosomal RNA is filed under the name uncultured organism. RNAcentral's name for it is "partial 16S ribosomal RNA". It matches the Rfam family "Bacterial small subunit ribosomal RNA", at positions 527 to 896 of the family's 1533-position model. The record is from RNAcentral.
GUAGGUGGCAAGCGUUGUCCGGAAUUAUUGGGCGUAAAGCGCGCGCAGGCGGUCCUUUAAGUCUGAUGUGAAAGCCCACGGCUCAACCGUGGAGGGUCAUUGGAAACUGGGGGACUUGAGUACAGAAGAGGAAAGCAGAAUUCCAAGUGUAGCGGUGAAAUGCGUAGAGAUUUGGAGGAACACCAGUGGCGAAGGCGGCUUUCUGGUCUGUAACUGACGCUGAGGCGCGAAAGCGUGGGGAGCAAACAGGGAUUAGAUACCCUGGUAGUCCACGCCGUAAACGAUGAGUGCUAAGUGUUAGGGGGUUUCCCGCCCCUUAGUGCUGCAGCUAACGCAUUAAGCACUCCGCCUGGGGAGUACGGCCGCAAGGCUG